UGCAACACCGAAGGUUUUUUUCAGUGUUGAACCGCUUCGCAAUUCGCGUGCACUGUGGCCGGCCUUCAAAAGCGAACUUGCGAAAUUCAUCCGGUGAAUGAAUAUUUCGCUUCGCAGUUCGCUUCGCGCUCACUGUGUUCGUACCCUAAGUCAGCUUACUUGUUGUCGUCGGAAGUCGACCAGUAGACCACACUUGUCAUCCUGCGGGGCCCUGGCACAAGCAACGUAAAUCCGAGCGUUGACAGCGUGGAGCUUCGGAGGAAGCUUCUGGAAGCUCCACCGAGUAGAAAAUGAAGGACCGUUUGAAGGAGCCGUCGGCAUCGAGGAGAUGAUCCCAGUCAAAUAGAUUUCGUAGGUGUUGGAGGUAUAUUUCAAGUGGCAAUGGAUGGCGCACAAGGAUUCCACUUAGCAAGAGGUCCCGAAAUUGAAUGUUCUAAAUGUACGUGUAUGAACAGUGAUGGUAGUUGAAAUAAAUUAUGUUUGCGA
Molecule: long non-coding RNA, 486 nt
Organism: Uranotaenia lowii
Lineage: Eukaryota; Metazoa; Arthropoda; Insecta; Diptera; Culicidae
Exons: 3
Source: RefSeq, a predicted model, not a curated record